AUACGUAGGUGACAAGCGUUAUCCGGAAUUACUGGGUGUAAAGGGUGCGUAGGCGGGACUGCAAGUCAGAUGUGAAAUGCCGGGGCUCAACCCCGGAGCUGCAUUUGAAACUGUGGUUCUUGAGUGAGGUAGAGGUAAGCGGAAUUCCUAGUGUAGCGGUGAAAUGCGUAGAUAUUAGGAGGAACAUCGGUGGCGAAGGCGGCUUACUGGGCCUUUACUGACGCUGAGGCACGAAAGCGUGGGGAGCAAACAGGAUUAGAUACCCUGGUAGUCCACGCUGUAAACGAUGAUUACUAGGUGUGGGGGGACUGACCCCUUCCGUGUCGCAGUUAACACAAUAAGUAAUCCACCUGGGGAUUACGGCCGCAAGGUUGAAACUCAAAGGAAUUGACGGGG
RNAcentral lists this ribosomal RNA (396 nucleotides) under uncultured bacterium. Its description in RNAcentral is "partial 16S ribosomal RNA". It matches the Rfam family "Bacterial small subunit ribosomal RNA", at positions 523 to 918 of the family's 1533-position model. The record is from RNAcentral.